AAAAUGGCUUUUCUAGAAGCCACAAUAUGAAAACACUGCAUGGGUAU
Molecule: non-coding RNA, 47 nt
Organism: Anolis carolinensis (green anole)
Lineage: Eukaryota; Metazoa; Chordata; Lepidosauria; Squamata; Anolidae
Source: Rfam